Hippoglossus stenolepis (Pacific halibut) is the source of this 256-nucleotide long non-coding RNA. RefSeq lists it as uncharacterized. The record is from RefSeq and is a predicted model, not a curated record. Lineage: Eukaryota; Metazoa; Chordata; Actinopteri; Pleuronectiformes; Pleuronectidae. The transcript has 4 exons.
UGCUACUUGAGGAGACAACAUGUCUGUUUGGUUUGUUCACUGCUUUCCUCCACAUUUCCUCGACAGACUUCUACUAAGACAGCUGAUCCCAGUGUGAGAUUCCUCCUCACACAGAGCAGCUGAAUCCCACUGAAACUGCUGAGACCUGGGACAAGGCAAGACAGCCGGUGAAGUAUUGGAUCUUCCUGUCUGGACUGCCUUGCCGGCUGGAGACUGACUGAGGCAGAUACAUGAUUCUAACUGGUAAGUGAUCUGG